UACGGAGGGAGCUAGCGUUGUUCGGAAUUACUGGGCGUAAAGCGCACGUAGGCGGCUUUGUAAGUUAGAGGUGAAAGCCCGGGGCUCAACUCCGGAAUUGCCUUUAAGACUGCAUCGCUUGAAUCCGGGAGAGGUGAGUGGAAUUCCGAGUGUAGAGGGUGAAAUUCGUAGAUAUUCGGAAGAACACCAGUGGCGAAGGCGGCUCACUGGACCGGUAUUGACGCUGAGGUGCGAAAGCGUGGGGAGCAAACAGG
Molecule: ribosomal RNA, 254 nt
Filed under: uncultured bacterium
Lineage: Bacteria
Description: partial 16S ribosomal RNA
Rfam family: Bacterial small subunit ribosomal RNA
Source: RNAcentral